UAACUGAAGAGUUUGAUCAUGGCUCAGAUUGAACGCUGGCGGCAGGCUUAACACAUGCAAGUCGAGCGGGGGAAGGUAGCUUGCUACUGGACCUAGCGGCGGACGGGUGAGUAAUGCUUAGGAAUCUGCCUAUUAGUGGGGGACAACAUCUCGAAAG
RNAcentral lists this ribosomal RNA (157 nucleotides) under Acinetobacter baumannii. Its description in RNAcentral is "partial 16S ribosomal RNA". It matches the Rfam family "Bacterial small subunit ribosomal RNA", at positions 1 to 157 of the family's 1533-position model. The record is from RNAcentral. Lineage: Bacteria; Pseudomonadati; Pseudomonadota; Gammaproteobacteria; Moraxellales; Moraxellaceae.